CAAAUAACAACUAUUAGUAUUUGUUAAAUAAUAUUCAAUUUUUUGGAUUCUGAGUUUAGCAAAAAAGCUAUUCGUUUUACUAAUAUGGUUUUUUGUUUCUCAUUUCGCAAAUUUCACUUUCCAUUCAUAAAAAUAGUCUACUUUUUUUACACAGUACUUUAAAAAACUCAGUAUUUUCAUUAAGUGGUAUUUUACCUGAUAAAUAUUUCAAUUUUUAACAGUUUUUUUACUUUGUCCUUUUUUGGUUUUUUUCUUUGGGAAACACACGAUUAGUAAAAAUGCUUUAAAUUAUUUGCACUAUACCUUCAAAUUGUGGGAUUUCAUUACUAACUUAUGGAUUCCCAUGUCUUUCAGUACAAUUUAAAGAACUGGCAAAUGUCAGUAUAUCACUUAUAUUACUUUUAUAAUUUUAGUAUAUUACUUUUGUUGUUUUCUGGAUUAAUUUGGUUACAAGGGAAAUAUUAUAACUAACAUUACUAACACUACUUCUUUCAAAAUCUUUUGGUGAUUUAUCAUUGCUUUUACUGUAUAAAUUAAAUUACUUAUAUCCUCUAUUAUUUACCAACAGUUUUCUACCUAGAGUUAAAAUGUUGAAUAUUAGGUUUGAGCCUAGUGAGGAAUCAUAUUAGUUUUAUGCCGGGUUGUAUAAAAACUGUUCAGUAAACUAUUGGUUCCAUAAUCUAUCUGUUCUGUAAAAUUACAGUGUUGCAUAUAAUUAUUUCAUUAUUUUUAUUUGUUAUCUAUGGUUAUAACCACUUGCUUAGUUAUAAAUAUAAAUAUAAUCAAUACAGUGUGUAAUCGUUUAUUGGAAACACUCUAUAACUUAACAAAUAUUAAAUAUAUUUGAAUUCUGUUUGUUUUUGGUGCUUAACAAACUUUGUUUUAAUUUAUUAAACUAAA
This is a non-coding RNA of Cinara cedri, 900 nucleotides long. The record is from the annotation of a GenBank genome assembly. Lineage: Eukaryota; Metazoa; Arthropoda; Insecta; Hemiptera; Aphididae.